CACCCCUCUACAGGUGGACCAGCUCUCACUGGACCUUCCAGCUCAGUGGGCUGCUCACCACCUACAGCUACAGCUGGCAUCCCUACUGAGGGACGUCCUGCUCCCCCAGUGUCCGAGAGCAGCCUGCCACUAGCACACGGGGCCCCAGUGGAGGAGAAGGAGUCUUUGGGAAGCACCGAGCUCGCCCCGAGUACAGCCUCCAUUCAGCAAGAACCACAAAAGCAAGAGAUCACUCGUGUUGAGAAAGCAACUGGACGUGAAGUAGCUACUGUAACAGAACAGGGGUAAGAUUAUUAUUUUUGUAAUAAUACUGACAUUUAACCAACUCUUGUGGUAUUCUUCCUACAAACCGUAAUUGUAUCUCAAGGUCACUUCCACAUGCGUUCAAGGUGUGGGUGCAGAACUUUUCAGUCUGUAACAUUAGUGAUACAUUUAUCUUGUAUAAUUCCUAUUUAUUCGACAAAUAAUAUUCAGCAACAGGAGUUGUUACUUUUGUUAAAAUAACUGGGUUACUCUAGUUUACUUUGUUUUGUUUUUUUCAUUCACGCAGUGCUUUUCCAGGUUUGGUCUGUUAAGAGGUGGUUCAGUGUGUUGGGUGAAAUUAAACAAUCAUACAAAUGAAGAAGUUACUUUUCAAACUAAUG
Molecule: long non-coding RNA, 644 nt
Organism: Polyodon spathula (Mississippi paddlefish)
Lineage: Eukaryota; Metazoa; Chordata; Actinopteri; Acipenseriformes; Polyodontidae
Exons: 3
Source: RefSeq, a predicted model, not a curated record